Molecule: ribosomal RNA, 497 nt
Filed under: uncultured bacterium
Lineage: Bacteria
Description: partial 16S ribosomal RNA
Rfam family: Bacterial small subunit ribosomal RNA
Source: RNAcentral
GAUGAACGCUGGCGGCGUGCCUAAUACAUGCAAGUCGAGCGAACGGACGAGAAGCUUGCUUCUCUGAUGUUAGCGGCGGACGGGUGAGUAACACGUGGAUAACCUACCUAUAAGACUGGGAUAACUUCGGGAAACCGGAGCUAAUACCGGAUGAUAUUUUGAACCGCAUGGUUCAAAAGUGAAAGACGGUCUUGCUGUCACUUAUAGAUGGUUCCGCGCUGCAUUAGCUAGUUGGUAAGGUAACGGCUUACCAAGGCAACGAUGCAUAGCCGACCUGAGAGGGUGAUCGGCCACACUGGAACUGAGACACGGUCCAGACUCCUACGGGAGGCAGCAGUAGGGAAUCUUCCGCAAUGGGCGAAAGCCUGACGGAGCAACGCCGCGUGAGUGAUGAAGGUCUUCGGAUCGUAAAACUCUGUUAUUAGGGAAGAACAUAUGUGUAAGUAACUGUGCACAUCUUGACGGUACCUAAUCAGAAGGCCACGGCUAACUACGUG